Molecule: ribosomal RNA, 280 nt
Filed under: uncultured bacterium
Lineage: Bacteria
Description: partial 16S ribosomal RNA
Rfam family: Bacterial small subunit ribosomal RNA
Source: RNAcentral
UACGUAGGAUCCAAGCGUUGUCCGGAUUUACUGGGUGUAAAGGGUGCGCAGGCGGACUGGUGAGUCUGGGGUGAAAUCUCGCUGCUUAACAGCGAAACUGCCUUAGAUACUAUCAGUCUUGAAUCAGCGAGAGGUUCGUGGAAUUCCGAGUGUAGCAGUGAAAUGUGUAGAUAUUCGGAAGAACACCAGUGGCGAAGGCAAGCGAACUGGCGCUCGGAUUGACGCUCAGGCACGAAAGCAUGGGGAAUCAAACAGGAGUUAGAAUGAUCCCAGGUAUCCC